RNAcentral lists this unclassified non-coding RNA (209 nucleotides) under plant metagenome. RNAcentral describes it as "partial contains small subunit ribosomal RNA, internal transcribed spacer 1, and 5.8S ribosomal RNA". The record is from RNAcentral.
UCUCCGUUGGUGAACCAGCGGAGGGAUCAUUACUGGAAUCGCAAGAUCCCACAACCCUGUGAACCUACCGACACGUUGCCUCGGCGGGCGCCUGGCCUUUCGCCGGGCGCGAAGCCCGCCGGUGGCCCCCUACUCUGUCUCUGCAGCGUGGCAUCUCCGAGUAUAUACAAUACAAGUCAAAACUUUUAACAACGGAUCUCUUGGCUCUA